AAAUUGAAGAGUUUGAUCAUGGCUCAGAUUGAACGCUGGCGGCAGGCCUAACACAUGCAAGUCGAACGGUAACAGAAAUCAGCUUGCUGAUUUGCUGACGAGUGGCGGACGGGUGAGUAAUGUCUGGGAAACUGCCUGAUGGAGGGGGAUAACUACUGGAAACGGUAGCUAAUACCGCAUAACGUCGCAAGACCAAAGAGGGGGACCUUCGGGCCUCUUGCCAUCGGAUGUGCCCAGAUGGGAUUAGCUAGUAGGUGGGGUAACGGCUCACCUAGGCGACGAUCCCUAGCUGGUCUGAGAGGAUGACCAGCCACACUGGAAC
RNAcentral lists this ribosomal RNA (322 nucleotides) under Escherichia coli. RNAcentral's name for it is "bacterial SSU rRNA". It matches the Rfam family "Bacterial small subunit ribosomal RNA", at positions 1 to 319 of the family's 1533-position model. Lineage: Bacteria; Pseudomonadati; Pseudomonadota; Gammaproteobacteria; Enterobacterales; Enterobacteriaceae. The record is from RNAcentral.